Molecule: long non-coding RNA, 2327 nt
Organism: Vicia villosa (hairy vetch)
Lineage: Eukaryota; Viridiplantae; Streptophyta; Magnoliopsida; Fabales; Fabaceae
Exons: 4
Source: RefSeq, a predicted model, not a curated record
GUGGAAAAGAAACAAACAAUAAGGCAUAAGCGCUUUUUCCAAAAGCUCCAAGGGGUGCUUAUUUCCCAAAAGCUAUUUUUCCCUCUCAUCUUCCUCACGUAACAACAGCAACAACAAUACGCUUAAACUCUUCAUCUAUUUGUUAAAAAAAAAUCAAUAGAGCAAACAACCAACAAUCAUAUUCAGUUUUCGAUUUCGAAUUGUUUCAAUUUCAAUUUCGCGGUUCUAUUUGAGCUUCACGGUUAUGUUUGAGGUUCGUGAAGGUUUUCUGUUCAGAAUCGAGUUGCUACUCAGUUUUGUUUUGGUUCGUGUUAGGAGGUUUCGACUCAGUGCAUAGUUUGGAUUCGAGCAGAGCUUUUUCACGGUUUAGAUUUUGCAUUCCAGCCAAGUUUUCCAUAAAUGUUUGUUUCGAUUUCGAAUCGAGUUUUGUUUCAGUUCAGAAUUUAAUUUAUGUUUUCUGUUCAUAAUUGGUUGCGUUUUGGAAUAUUGCAUUUUUACGGUUUCCACUCAAUUACGGAUUCUACUAAAGUUUGAUUAUGAUUUGAUUUCGGUGAAGAUUUUGGUUUGAAUUAAAAUUAAAGCGACUAUACAAUAUCAUAAUGCUAAACUGGAUGAGCUCUCACCAGUUGAAAUGAAGAAAAAUUGCAGAUUUCGUUCUCGCUCGCAAGGUUUGAAGUAAAGGUGGUGGAUUGAUGCAGAAGUUGAAGCUAAUCAUGUAGAAGGUGUUCUGUACAUAGUGUAUUCGAAUUAUGAUUUUGAGUCAGAUUUUGCUCCAUUUGAAAAAGGAAGAGGACCGUGAGAAGAUUAAGAAUUUGGAGGUGGGUUUUUUAGUCGUCAUUAUGCUUUGGUUCCUGAAGGAGUUUGGUUGCGUGCUCCCAAACGGUGAGUGUCGACUCUCCGCCUCUAUUUCUUUUCAAUAGGUUAUAGUUAUGACUUUUAGGUACUGUUAUAUUGAAAUUAUGAAGCAAAAAUUGAGGUCUUAAUUGUUAUUAUGCAUUUAGUUGUACAUUUUUUAUUUUGUUGAUGCACCGGUCUUUAUGGGGUGUGUAUCUGUGCUGCAUUUAAGUGAUGUGCCUGGUGUGAGUAGGGUGUUUAUGCAAACAGAUGAUUUCUCUAACUUAGUUAUGAUAUAAUUAUUUGUUUACAAUUCCAUGGUUGUGCAUAGAAAGGUAAUCAAGUGUAGAACUAGUCACAGAACAGUAGGAUUCCCUGUUUGUUAGGACUUUAAGAUUAUACUGCUUGGUGUGUAUGUCCGUCUUUAAUGCCAGUUUAAUACUAAAUACAUCCACCAUCAGGUUUAGUCAGCCAUGGUGUUACAUGUUGUGCAUAGGAAGAUGUUGAAAGUGAAUGUUUUCUAUGCACUUUAAUUGCCUAGUUUAUUAUUCCAAGAUAUUUUAAUUGGAUAAGUGUUCGGGUAAAAAAUCAUAUAUGUUAUCUGCAAGAGAGUUGUCAAUCACAUGGAGCAAUGACCAAUAUACUGGAGCUAGAGACCAACCAAAGUUUCAAGGUAAACUAAACUAUUUUGAUUUCAAGUUUAAUUGUUUAAGAUGAUCAGAGAUUGAACCAAAGUAUACCAUAUUGAUCAUGAUGACUAAUAAGAAGGGUAGAAUUCUAACAUACCCUGGCGUAUCAGUUUGGUGUGAAUACUCUUUUAGGUGGCUAAGUAUCAUAUGAGGCACGGUUAGUAUAUUAAUGUUUAACAUUGAUCUUAUUACUAUUUGAAUAUAUUCCCUAUAUAAAAUAAGUUUUUAUCUGAGACACGUCUAUAUUAAUGUAUAUAAUUUUACGGUUUCGACUCAAUUACGAGUUCUACUAAAGUUUGAUUGAUUCGAUUUGGGUGCAGAUUUUGGUUUGAGUUAAAAUUAACGAGAGUAUACAGCGUCAUAAACCUAAAUUGGAUGAGCGCUUACCAGUUGAAAUCAAGAAAAAUGCGGAUUUCGUCCUCGCUCGUAAGAUGCUAUGCUCGUUUGCAUCCAAGGGCUGUUAAUUGUAGGGAAAAAAAUUUGGUCACAGUAAUAAGUGAAUUUGAAACAUCAUAUUGAAGGCUUUUAUUGCUCAAUCAGAUCCUCUUACUUGGAUAAAUAUUUACUGUAAACUCUGUGGUUGACUUUCUCUCCUUCAAUAUGCUUUCUCUCCUUCAAUAUGCUCUUGCAAAUCCUCUCACUUUUUAUGUAUGGUUGUAAUUUCUUUGUGGCUGUAGGGAAAAGAGGAGCUAUUGACUUAACUAAGAAAGGAACUAAAUGUUACGCAUAAUUGAGUUAAAUGCUCCUAGCACUUAUGUUAAAAUGAACACCAAGAUGGUUUCAUCAAUUCAUUCACUCUCUUGU